GGGGCUGUGGUGAAAUUGGCAGCCACGCCAGAUUUAGGUUCUGGUUCCUUACGGAGUGCGAGUUCGAGUCUCGCCAGCCCCACCA
This 85-nucleotide transfer RNA is filed under the name Salmonella enterica subsp. enterica serovar Braenderup. RNAcentral describes it as "tRNA-Leu". It matches the Rfam family "tRNA". Rfam says of the family: Transfer RNA (tRNA) molecules are approximately 80 nucleotides in length. Their secondary structure includes four short double-helical elements and three loops (D, anti-codon, and T loops). Further hydrogen bonds mediate the characteristic L-shaped molecular structure. tRNAs have two regions of fundamental functional importance: the anti-codon, which is responsible for specific mRNA codon recognition, and the 3' end, to which the tRNAs corresponding amino acid is attached (by aminoacyl-tRNA synthetases). tRNAs cope with the degeneracy of the genetic code in two manners: having more than one tRNA (with a specific anti-codon) for a particular amino acid; and 'wobble' base-pairing, i.e. permitting non-standard base-pairing at the 3rd anti-codon position. Lineage: Bacteria; Pseudomonadati; Pseudomonadota; Gammaproteobacteria; Enterobacterales; Enterobacteriaceae. The record is from RNAcentral.